RNAcentral lists this ribosomal RNA (588 nucleotides) under uncultured bacterium. RNAcentral describes it as "bacterial SSU rRNA". It matches the Rfam family "Bacterial small subunit ribosomal RNA", at positions 338 to 943 of the family's 1533-position model. The record is from RNAcentral.
CCUACGGGAGGCAGCAGUUAGGAAUUUUGGGCAAUGGGCGAAAGCCUGACCCAGCAACGCCGCGUGGGUGACGAAGGCCUUCGGGUUGUAAAGCCCUUUUCUGAGGGAAGAUGAUGACGGUACCUCAGGAAUAAGCACCGGCUAACUACGUGCCAGCAGCCGCGGUAAUACGUAGGGUGCAAGCGUUGCCCGGAUUUAUUGGGCGUAAAGGGCGCGCAGGCGGCUACGCACGUCCGUUGUGAAAUCGCUCGGCUCAACUGGGCGGGGUCAGCGGAUACGGCGUAGCUGGAGCAAGCUAGGGGGCAAUGGAAUUCCCGGUGUAGUGGUGGAAUGCGUAGAUAUCGGGAGGAACACCAGUGGCGAAGGCGGUUGCCUGGAGCUUUGCUGACGCUGAGGCGCGAAAGCGUGGGGAGCGAUCCGGAUUAGAUACCCGGGUAGUCCACGCCGUAAACGAUGUCGACUAGGUGUCGGGGGUAUCGACCCCCUCGGCGCCGCAGCUAACGCAUUAAGUCGACCGCCUGGGGACUACGGCCGCAAGGCUAAAACUUAAAUGAAUUGACGGCUGAGCNGCGAGCGACACGAGGAGAG